CGGGCGUUAAGUUGCAGGGUAUAGACCCGAAACCCGGUGAUCUAGCCAUGGGCAGGUUGAAGGUUGGGUAACACUAACUGGAGGACCGAACCGACUAAUGUUGAAAAAUUAGCGGAUGACCUGUGGCUGGGGGUGAAAGGCCAAUCAAACCGGGAGAUAGCUGGUUCUCCCCGAAAGCUAUUUAGGUAGCGCCUCGUGAAUUCAUCUCCGGGGGUAGAGCACUGUUUCGGCUAGGGGGCCAUCCCGGCUUACCAACCCGAUGCAAACUGCGAAUACCGGAGAAUGUUAUCACGGGAGACACACGGCGGGUGCUAACGUCCGUCGUGAAGAGGGAAACAACCCAGACCGCCAGCUAAGGUCCCAAAGUCAUGGUUAAGUGGGAAACGAUGUGGGAAGGCCCAGACAGCCAGGAUGUUGGCUUAGAAGCAGCCAUCAUUUAAAGAAAGCGUAAUAGCUCACUGGUCGAGUCGGCCUGCGCGGAAGAUGUAACGGGGCUAAACCAUGCACCGAAGCUGCGGCAGCGACACUGUGUGUUGU
Molecule: ribosomal RNA, 537 nt
Filed under: Salmonella enterica subsp. enterica serovar Enteritidis
Lineage: Bacteria; Pseudomonadati; Pseudomonadota; Gammaproteobacteria; Enterobacterales; Enterobacteriaceae
Description: partial 23S ribosomal RNA
Rfam family: Bacterial large subunit ribosomal RNA
Source: RNAcentral